RNAcentral lists this signal recognition particle RNA (272 nucleotides) under Candidatus Woesearchaeota archaeon. RNAcentral describes it as "signal recognition particle sRNA". It matches the Rfam family "Archaeal signal recognition particle RNA". Lineage: Archaea; Nanobdellati; Candidatus Woesearchaeota. The record is from RNAcentral.
AGGUAGGCUAGACUGGGGGGUUAGCCCUCUCCUGUUACUGUCAACGGGCUUUAGGCAGGGUCGAAGCCUGAAGAAGGUGUGACUGGUUCUGCUGGUCUCAGCAGUUACUGUCGACGUUCUGUCCCAUAGGAUUGCGGCUAUGGGAAUCGGGUCAGGGCCGGAAGGCAGCAGCCCUAACUGUAGUUAGUAAUGUUUAUGGGGUUGCAGAACUGAGGUGCUGUUGGGGUUAAGCCAGUGGAGUCGGUUUUCAUCGACUAAUGGCAUGCCUACCU